Molecule: non-coding RNA, 85 nt
Organism: Poronia punctata
Lineage: Eukaryota; Fungi; Ascomycota; Sordariomycetes; Xylariales; Xylariaceae
Source: the annotation of a GenBank genome assembly
GGUUGUAUAGUAUAGUGGUUAGUACGGCUCGUUGUGGUCAACGAGGAAUACCGAGCAGACUCAGGUUCGAUUCCUGAUACAGCCA